UACGUAGGGUGCGGGCGUUGUCCGGAAUUAUUGGGCGUAAAGGGCUCGUAGGCGGUUUGUCGCGUCGGGAGUGAAAACUCAGGGCUUAACCCUGAGCCUGCUUCCGAUACGGGCAGACUGGAGUUCGGCAGGGGAGACUGGAAUUCCUGGUGUAGCGGUGAAAUGCGCAGAUAUCAGGAGGAACACCGGUGGCGAAGGCGGGUCUCUGGGCCGAUACUGACGCUGAGGAGCGAAAGCGUGGGGAGCGAACAGG
RNAcentral lists this ribosomal RNA (253 nucleotides) under uncultured bacterium. Its description in RNAcentral is "partial 16S ribosomal RNA". It matches the Rfam family "Bacterial small subunit ribosomal RNA", at positions 524 to 776 of the family's 1533-position model. The record is from RNAcentral.